AAUAAACGACAAAGGGUGAGCACAUUUUUAAAGUAAAAUUGAAAGAAAUAGGCUACAUCUCAUCAAUGUAAACAAAACGUGUUUGUGCGCUUAAAACCACCAGCGUUUAUGAAGCGAGUUGUCAUCUUUUUUGUCUGUCUUGAGCUGGUGCGCUUUUCCUCCUCCUGAUGUUCAGCUUCCUCUGGGAGGGUCAUGCUGUGGCCAGCUGCCUUGCUCUCACUGUCAUGCUUCUUCUGCACAUCUUGGAUGUGUGUGUGUCAGAAUGCCCAGAGAGCUGCGUCUGCUCAGAGAGUGUCGACGGUGGGCUGAUGGUCCGUUGUAGAGACAUGAACUUAAUUGCGGUGCCACGUGGCCUUCCGAACAACACAAGACAUCUAUACCUAGACAACAACCUGCUCUUUACUAUACCAUCUGAUUCAUUUAUAGGGCUCCCACUGCUGUUCAAACUAGAUCUUUCCCACAACAGACUGGUGCAUCUGGAGCCAGGAGCCUUUAGAGACCAAGCGGGCUCGUUAAGCAGCUUGGACCUUUCUUUUAACCUGCUGGAGACACUGGACCCCGAGGCGUUUGGCGACCUCAGAGCCCAGACUAACCUCUCUCAUAACCCGUGGCUGUGUGACUGCCGUCUGCAGCUGGCUAUGCCACAGCUGCUCUUAGAUCCCUCCUCCCUCGCUGAGGUGGUGUGCAACACUUCUGAACCCGAGGAGCUGGGAGCUCAAGCACGGUCAUCCUAGACUCCUGUGUUCCUCCAGCGAUCCCUCCUUCAAGGUCUCCUCUUCUGCAUUUACCCAGAGGCAUGCAAAUAUAUGUGCCGUUUAAUCAAAUCAUUGACUGCUGAACACUGGGUUAGGGCCUUACAUGUACAGCAUCCCCUGAAACAGCACAUGAAGAAAACUGGUUACAAGCCGUCUCCAGAAACCGAAUUUAAAAGUUUUUCUUCUGUAUACCCACAAAACCAGAAGAAACCAAUAUGGGAGAUGAAAGACCAGUAACAAAGCUCAAUGUCUCCACCACUAAGGACGAGGAGGAAAUACUUGCAGCUAAUGGUUAUCAGCUCAUCAAUUCUGACCUCAAUGAAGGAACUGGUAAAAACCGGGUCUUUCUUUGGUACAAGAAAGAGUGUGGCUUGAAACCUGUGACCAGGAUCCAGUUUUCAUUCAGUGAGCAAAUGAAAUCUGGUCUGGCUGAUGCUGGGUAUGAGCUGGUGGACAAGGAUCUGAACGCAGGAGCUGGCGGAGAUUUCAUCUUUCUUUGGUACUUCUACGGCAGCACUGAAUCUGACAUUCCCAUUAUGAACCUCGAGGUAACUAAAGAUGCCGAAGAAGAACCUGCUCUCCUGAAAGAUGGCUGGGAGAGACUGGGCUGUGAUCUGAACCGUAGAGCAAGAGGAAAGUUCAUCUACCUGUGGGUGAAGAGAGAGAAGCCGAGCUACAUCUGUGAGAUCACAGCGACUAUUGACUUCUCUUGUGACAGGUACAUGUUUGAGCAGGGCUUCACUCGUGUGGAUGAAGACACCAACCGUGACGCUUGUGGAAACUACGUCUUCCUCUGGUAUCGCCGCACAACUGAUAAGAGCAAGGCUCUCACUGCUCUAAACGUAUCCACCUCCCCCCAGGAGCAGGCAAAGCUGCAGGCUUCAGGCUUCAAUAUGGUUGUUGCGGAUCUCAGUGUAGGAGCUGGUGGAAAAUAUAUCCAUGCAUGGUACAGGAAAGAAAGACGUGAAUCACAGAUCCAAGCUAUGGUUCUACUGAUCAAUCCUGAUGCCUGGAAGGAGUAUCAGAAAGCUGGCAUCAGCUUUGUUGAAAAAAAUCUGAAUGAGGGCAACAAGGGUUUGAAAAUGCACAUAGCAUACAAGUGAAGGAUGUUAGGAUUCUUUGGUACUUGAUAGGUACUUGAUAUUAAUAAAUAAGCUUCCACAUAAAUUAAAUCAGUACAUUGAUGGUUAAAGAAGAUGACAUGAAAAUGUAAAUGGCACAAACAAAACACAAACUCAAAAGCUAAAAAGGAACGGUAGAUGAACAAUUCAUAAAUUCUUAAAGUUAUGCCCAAUAAGCACUUGACCCCAGCUUGCUUCAUAUUCACUCCUUUAUUGAGACUACUGUAAGUAGCUUUGGAUAAGAAAACUUUUACUAAAUAAAAAAAUGUGCUCAUUGUGUCCAUGAGGUGGCAGAGCAGCUCCCCACAGAGCAGCUCUGUUAUAUUAUGACCAUGGACUGUUGUAAAACAUUGUUUCAUUUUUGCAUUUUCUUUUUCUUUGACUGUUUGUCACUCUUGUGGAAGUUUUUCUAGUGGAAAGCAUGCAUUUGCAAUAAAGCCAACUUUAGCUACAACAAA
RNA transcript from Carassius gibelio (silver crucian carp), 2334 nucleotides. It is a transcript of the gene named leucine rich repeat containing 3Cb, with no coding region annotated. NCBI's taxonomy places the organism in Eukaryota, Metazoa, Chordata, Actinopteri, Cypriniformes, Cyprinidae. The transcript is spliced from 5 exons. The record is from RefSeq and is a predicted model, not a curated record.